UUUCCAGGGCCCUGUAGAGCAGUAGAAGAGGACUUCUCCAGGGGAAGGGCAAGGCUGUUCUGGGAAGAAAGGGAGAAGGGAUGCGGGGGGGGGGGGGGGGGGGGGGGAUACCCAGGGUGCUGAGACUACCACGGGCCAGACGUUGACAGAGGGUCCAGGGUUGUGGGAGACGUGGGGACAACUGCAACAUACAACUCCUACCGGGAGUUGGGAUGAGAGAUGGAGACAGGGCAACCAAUAGCUGUUACCCAAGCGAGAAUGCGGAAGAGCCACAGUGUUACCGAUACAGGGUUCUUCGGGAGCUGGCCGACAGCCUGUACUGUCAGGGGGCAUCCAGAACUCAAUCAGUUCCAAAGCUCCUGCCGCGCUCCGCUCCAGAGAUGCCCAGAGAUGCCCACAGCUACAGCACAGUGACUUGGGUCCAGAUCCCAUUCCUGCUCAGGGACUUUUUUCUCACCUCUCUGAGCCUGUUUCUCCAUCAGAACAAUGGGACAGACGCCAGUUUAGCUAUUAGAUUGGUUUGGGAGGCUGAGUACAGAGCUUAGAGAGUAGGAGGCACUUCUCUGCCCUCCCAGAGUCCCAGGCCCCCCUGCCUGCACUGCCAACUUUUCUUAGAUAACCUGAUGAAUUCCAGCUCAUCUUAGAAUCAAAAGAUGCUCUUCAGAGUUGUUUCGUUAUCUGGUCUGUAGAAGAAUACCAGAUAAUUAUCCAAGUGCCAAACAUCACUUAACUGUACUCAAAUUGUCAACGUAUACCCCCCACCCCCACUAACACAGAAGCUCCCUGAAGGCAGGCAAAGCAUUAUUCAUUUUUGCAUCUGUCUCCGGUACCCAGCCUAAUGGGUGCCUCCUCCCUACACCCCCCCUCAUCAAGAGAUAUAAUUAGCAUACAGCACCGGGAACGUUGAAGAUGUACAGCAGACCGACUUAACUCAAAUACAUUGUGAAAUGAUUACCACAAAACUCCAGGACACUGUGACAAAGGACCACUCCAACUUGGGUCUCAGUCCCAGAUGUGAGCUGAUCCUUGAGGUCAGAAGGGGAAAGUGGCUCGGAGAGGUUGAGUAUCUCGAAGCAUCACCUACUAGCAAGUAGGGCAUCAGGGAGCACAGACUCCACUCUCCUGGACAGAGGUUAGUGGGGCUCUGGAAUGGGGGGGGGGUCAGACAGGAUU
Mustela erminea (ermine) is the source of this 1173-nucleotide long non-coding RNA. RefSeq lists it as uncharacterized. Lineage: Eukaryota; Metazoa; Chordata; Mammalia; Carnivora; Mustelidae. The transcript is spliced from 3 exons. The record is from RefSeq and is a predicted model, not a curated record.